RNAcentral lists this ribosomal RNA (512 nucleotides) under uncultured bacterium. Its description in RNAcentral is "partial 16S ribosomal RNA". It matches the Rfam family "Bacterial small subunit ribosomal RNA", at positions 28 to 523 of the family's 1533-position model. The record is from RNAcentral.
GAUGAACGCUGGCGGCAUGCCUAAUACAUGCAAGUCGAACGAGAGGAAGGAAAGCUUGCUUUUCUGAAUCUAGUGGCGAACGGGUGAGUAACACGUAGGUAACCUGCCCAUGUGCCCGGGAUAACUUCUGGAAACGGACGCUAAAACCGGAUAGGUAGCAGACAAGCAUUUGACUGCUAUUUAAGUGGCUAAGGCCAUGAACAUGGAUGGACCUGCGGUGCAUUAGCUAGUUGGUGAGGUAACGGCCCACCAAGGCGACGAUGCAUAGCCGGCCUGAGAGGGCGGACGGCCACAUUGGUACUGGGACACGGCCCAAACUCCUACGGGAGGCAGCAGUAGGGAAUUUUCGUCAAUGGGGGGAACCCUGAAUGAGCAAUGCCGCGUGAGUGAGGAAGGUCUUCGGAUCGUAAAGCUCUGUUGUAAGAGAAAAACGACAUUCAUAGGGAAUGAUGAGUGAGUGAUGGUAUCUUACCAGAAAGUCACGGCUAACUACGUGCCAGCCGCCGCGGUAA